Molecule: ribosomal RNA, 373 nt
Filed under: uncultured Sphingobacteriia bacterium
Lineage: Bacteria; Pseudomonadati; Bacteroidota; Sphingobacteriia
Description: bacterial SSU rRNA
Rfam family: Bacterial small subunit ribosomal RNA
Source: RNAcentral
UAAUACGGAGGAUGCAAGCGUUAUCCGGAUUCAUUGGGUUUAAAGGGUGCGCAGGCGGAACGAUAAGUCAGUGGUGAAAUCCUACAGCUCAACUGUAGAACUGCCGUUGAUACUGUCGUUCUUGAGUACAGUUGAAGUGGGCGGAAUGUAUCAUGUAGCGGUGAAAUGCAUAGAUAUGAUACAGAACUCCGAUAGCGAAGGCAGCUCACUAAACUGACACUGACGCUCAGGCACGAAAGCGUGGGGAGCAAACAGGAUUAGAUACCCUGGUAGUCCACGCCGUAAACGAUGAUCACUCGUUGUUGGCAAUACAUGGUCAGCGACUGAGCGAAAGCAUUAAGUGAUCCACCUGGGGAGUACGCUCGCAAGAGUG